GAAAGGCCCCUUCGGGGGUACUCGAGUGGCGAACGGGUGAGUAACACGUGGGCAAUCUGCCCUGCACUUCGGGAUAAGCCUGGGAAACUGGGUCUAAUACCGGAUAGGACCUUUAGGCGCAUGUCUUUAGGUGGAAAGCUUUUGCGGUGUGGGAUGGGCCCGCGGCCUAUCAGCUUGUUGGUGGGGUGAUGGCCUACCAAGGCGACGACGGGUAGCCGGCCUGAGAGGGUGUCCGGCCACACUGGGACUGAGAUACGGCCCAGACUCCUACGGGAGGCAGCAGUGGGGAAUAUUGCACAAUGGGCGCAAGCCUGAUGCAGCGACGCCGCGUGGGGGAUGACGGCCUUCGGGUUGUAAACCUCUUUCACCAUCGACGAAGGUCCGGGUUUUCUCGGAUUGACGGUAGGUGGAGAAGAAGCACCGGCCAACUACGUGCCAGCAGCCGCGGUAAUACGUAGGGUGCGAGCGUUGUCCGGAAUUACUGGGCGUAAAGAGCUCGUAGGUGGUUUGUCGCGUUGUUCGUGAAAUCUCACGGCUUAACUGUGAGCGUGCGGGCGAUACGGGCAGACUAGAGUACUGCAGGGGAGACUGGAAUUCCUGGUGUAGCGGUGGAAUGCGCAGAUAUCAGGAGGAACACCGGUGGCGAAGGCGGGUCUCUGGGCAGUAACUGACGCUGAGGAGCGAAAGCGUGGGGAGCGAACAGGAUUAGAUACCCUGGUAGUCCACGCCGUACACGGUGGGUACUAGGUGUGGGUUUCCUUCCUUGGGAUCCGUGCCGUAGCUGACGCAUUAAGUACCCCGCCUGGGGAGUACGGCCGCAAGGCUAAAACUCAAGGAAUUGACGGGGGCCCGCACAAGCGGCGGAGCAUGUGGAUUAAUUCGAUGCAACGCGAGAACCUUACCUGGGUUUGACAUGCACAGGACGCGUCUAGAGAUAGCGUCCUGUGGC
This 949-nucleotide ribosomal RNA is filed under the name Mycobacterium intracellulare. RNAcentral's name for it is "bacterial SSU rRNA". It matches the Rfam family "Bacterial small subunit ribosomal RNA", at positions 69 to 1022 of the family's 1533-position model. The record is from RNAcentral. Lineage: Bacteria; Bacillati; Actinomycetota; Actinomycetes; Mycobacteriales; Mycobacteriaceae.